RNAcentral lists this ribosomal RNA (395 nucleotides) under uncultured soil bacterium. Its description in RNAcentral is "bacterial SSU rRNA". It matches the Rfam family "Bacterial small subunit ribosomal RNA", at positions 26 to 415 of the family's 1533-position model. The record is from RNAcentral.
AGAUUGAACGCUGGCGGCAGGCCUAACACAUGCAAGUCGAGCGGCAGCACGGGUACUUGUACCUGGUGGCGAGCGGCGGACGGGUGAGUAAUGCCUAGGAAUCUGCCUGGUAGUGGGGGAUAACGCUCGGAAACGGACGCUAAUACCGCAUACGUCCUACGGGAGAAAGCGAGGGGACCUUCGGGCCUUGCGCUAUCAGAUGAGCCUAGGUCGGAUUAGCUAGUUGGUGAGGUAAUGGCUCACCAAGGCGACGAUCCGUAACUGGUCUGAGACGGAUGAUCAGUCACACUGGAACUGAGACACGGUCCAGACUCCUACGGGAGCAGCAGGUGGGAAUAGUUGGACAAGUGGGACGAAAGCCUAGAUCCAGCCAGUGCCGCGUGUGUGAAGUAGUC